This is a long non-coding RNA of Polyodon spathula (Mississippi paddlefish), 1350 nucleotides long. RefSeq lists it as uncharacterized. NCBI's taxonomy places the organism in Eukaryota, Metazoa, Chordata, Actinopteri, Acipenseriformes, Polyodontidae. The record is from RefSeq and is a predicted model, not a curated record. The transcript has 4 exons.
GUGCUUCAUGUCAGAUUGGAUGAUUGCAAAGGGGGUUGUGUGGGUUAACCACUGUGGUUUGUCUGAGCUCAAAGCUACACAGUCGACAGAGGAGUCCUGCAUUUGCACAGCAAUAGGAGCUGCACCUCUAUGACCUGACCGGUUUUACUUUAUACCUGAUAUGAACUUGUAAUAUAGGUGCAUCUCUCUGUUGCAAGUCAUAUUUAGCAGAGCUGAAGACUUUGGUUGAGGGCUGACAGGCUGUUCUUAAUCGUUAGGUUCUUUCUUUUUCAAGAAUGCCUGGAAUGAAAUAGAGCUGAUAAUCAUUAAAGGGGGGCUGCAUCGAAGAUAACAUACACUGUAAUACAAAGUUAACAAACAACGUAUGAGUUUGUGAAAACAGGGAAUACCGCUAUCCUGUCUUUACACUGUGUAACCUUUCUGUUCAAAUAAAUUAGCAUCAAACCUCUUCUGUUUUUUUUUUCCAGAUAACAAAAGUAGACAAAAAUAGGUAUAUUAAGAACCAGUCGGAUGACAGUCUGCCUGAUAUUGUGAUAGUUCUACGUAAAAAAGCUCAAUCUGCUGCACUGCACACAUCUAAACAAGAAACUGGAGCACACCUCCUGAUGAGAGAGAUUCUGGGCUCCCUGCUGCCUGCUGGAUCCCUUCAGCCUUCCUCUCCAGCAUUGCACCAGCCGGGUCUGAGGGAACCUUCAGUAUAUCAAAGUGCCCGGAAGCAGUUUACAGAUAGUAACAUGGCACCAGACUUCCAAAACUAUAUCCGAAGGAAGAGAAGUGAAGUGUUUGAUAAAUUCAUCAACCGACAGAAAAGCACAGGAUUGAAGGCCGACAUGAGAAGUGAAGAAAAAGAAGACAACUUGAGAAAUGUAACUAAAGCAUGCAAAGUGGACAUUUAGAGGAAAGCACGAGAAAGAUUUGCUGAGACGAAACCAACGCUAACAAAAGAUUCACAGCAAAAGAACAACAGGAGACAAUUCAGCAUAGAGGAGAUUAAAAAUAAAUGACUAAAAAGAGGAGGAAGGUGGGAGGAAGGGAAGGUAAUCUUUGCUAAAAUGAAUGGGAUUAUAAACAAGGCACCCAAGCACCUUCAAGCACAUCGGCACAUUCUUUACUUAAAAGAGUUACUGACAGGAGGGUUGUAUAUCCAGGCAUGAGAAUCAAGAGGAGGGUAUUAAACACAGGAAUGGAGGAGGAGUAAACUUCAACAGAGCAGAUAAUUCAAGAGAGUCCCGAGGAUGCUGAGGUGACAGGGAGGCGGGGGGUCUACAUUACAGGAUGCCCACAGGUUUGCUAAAGAACAACACUGAUUUUAUGAUGUAAAAAGUCUCGGAACAGAAAAUAUGAAUACUU